RNAcentral lists this ribosomal RNA (425 nucleotides) under uncultured bacterium. RNAcentral's name for it is "bacterial SSU rRNA". It matches the Rfam family "Bacterial small subunit ribosomal RNA", at positions 28 to 454 of the family's 1533-position model. The record is from RNAcentral.
GAUGAACGCUAGCGGCAGGCUUAACACAUGCAAGUCGAGGGGUAUGCCGAUUUAUCGGCAGAGACCGGCGCACGGGUGCGUAACGCGUAUGCAAUCUACCUUUCACAGAGGGAUAGCCCAGAGAAAUUUGGAUUAAUACCUCAUAGUAUAGCAAUUUCGCAUGAAACCACUAUUAAAGUUCCAACGGUAAAGAUGAGUAUGCGUCCAUUAGCUAGAUGGUAAGGUAACGGCUUACCAUGGCAAUGAUGGGUAGGGGUCCUGAGAGGGAGAUCCCCCACACUGGUACUGAGGACACGGACCAGACUCCUACGGGAGGCAGCAGUGAGGAAUAAUUGGACAAUGGGCGCAAGACCUGAUCCAGCCAUGCCGCGUGCAGGAAUAAGGUCCUAUGGAUUGUAAACUGCUUUUAUACAAGAAGAAACACU